AACACAUGCAAGUCGAGGGGCAGCAUGGUCUUAGCUUGCUAAGGCUGAUGGCGACCGGCGCACGGGUGAGUAACACGUAUCCAACCUGCCGUCUACUCUUGGCCAGCCUUCUGAAAGGAAGAUUAAUCCAGGAUGGCAUCAUGAGUUCACAUGUCCGCAUGAUUAAAGGUAUUUUCCGGUAGACGAUGGGGAUGCGUUCCAUUAGAUAGUAGGCGGGGUAACGGCCCACCUAGUCAACGAUGGAUAGGGGUUCUGAGAGGAAGGUCCCCCACAUUGGAACUGAGACACGGUCCAAACUCCUACGGGAGGCAGCAGUGGGGAAUAUUGGUCAAUGGGCGAUGGCCUGAACCAGCCAAGUAGCGUGAAGGAUGACUGCCCUAUGGGUUGUAAACUUCUUUUAUAAAGGAAUAAAGUCGGGUAUGCAUACCCGUUUGCAUGUACUUUAUGAAUAAGGAUCGGCUAACUCCGUGCCAGCAGCCGCGGUAAUACGGAGGAUCCGAGCGUUAUCCGGAUUUAUUGGGUUUAAAGGGAGCGUAGAUGGAUGUUUAAGUCAGUUGUGAAAGUUUGCGGCUCAACCGUAAAAUUGCAGUUGAUACUGGAUGUCUUGAGUGCAGUUGAGGCAGGCGGAAUUCGUGGUGUAGCGGUGAAAUGCUUAGAUAUCACGAAGAACUCCGAUUGCGAAGGCAGCCUGCUAAGCUGCAACUGACAUUGAGGCUCGAAAGUGUGGGUAUCAAACAGG
This 739-nucleotide ribosomal RNA is filed under the name uncultured Bacteroidales bacterium. RNAcentral describes it as "bacterial SSU rRNA". It matches the Rfam family "Bacterial small subunit ribosomal RNA", at positions 50 to 776 of the family's 1533-position model. Lineage: Bacteria; Pseudomonadati; Bacteroidota; Bacteroidia; Bacteroidales. The record is from RNAcentral.